GAUGAACGUUGGCGGCGUGCCUAAUACAUGCAAGUCGAACGGAGAUUGUAGCAAUACGGUCUCAGUGGCGAACGGGUGAGUAACGCGUUGGUGACCUGCCCCGAAGUGUGGAAUAACAGAUCGAAAGAGCUGCUAAUACCGCAUAAUAUCCAGGAGAUUAGAUGCUUCUGGAUUAAAGGAUUUAUCCGCUUCGGGAGGGGCCUGCGUCCCAUCAGCUAGUUGGUAAGGUAAAGGCUUACCAAGGCGAUGACGGGUAGGGGACCUGAGAGGGUGGCCCCCCACAAUGGAACUGAAACACGGUCCAUACACCUACGGGUGGCAGCAGUAGGGAAUAUUAGUAAUGGGCGAAAGCCUGAACUAGCAACGCCGCGUGAAGGAAGAAGGCCUUCGGGUUGUAAACUUCUUUGAUAGGGGACGAUAAUGACGGUACCCUAAAAACAAGCCACGGCUAACUACGUGCCAGCAGCCGCGGUAAAACGUCCACUG
Molecule: ribosomal RNA, 486 nt
Filed under: uncultured bacterium
Lineage: Bacteria
Description: bacterial SSU rRNA
Rfam family: Bacterial small subunit ribosomal RNA
Source: RNAcentral